CAGCCCUUGAGGCUGCUCUGCCUAUGGAGUAGCCACCCUGUUAUUCCUUUACUUUCUUAAUAAACCUGCUUUCAUUUUACUCUGUCAGCUCACUUUUGAAUUCCUUCCUGUGUGAAGCCAAGAACCCAUGUGACCUCCAAGGCUGCACUUCAAAUUUGGGAUUCACCCUGUGAUAUCUUUUCUGGUGAUCAUUAAGGGAUGAUGGAGACCUCUCUCUGGACCACAAAUUAAGACCUAUCAGUACCAUUUGGACCUGACAGAGGGACGUAUUUGAACUAUUCAUCAUUCAAGAAAAAUCCUUCUGUGUGAAGUGAGUUUUUUUAUGAUAGAGGAAAACUAAUGAGACUAUAAAAACAAUUAUUUUCCCACUUCGUUUUUUAGAGAUGUGUUAAGUUUUGCAGCCUGUCUGGAAAUGGACUUAAAUAUCAUUAAACUGCCUUGCUGCUGGUCAUAUAGGCCAUCUCAGGUUCUGAAAGGGAGAAGGCAAAGGUGCUGAGGUUCACUGAUAACCACCCUCUGGAUGCUCUGGGGUUUGUCAACAUUUUAGAUGGAGACUCUUAUUGGCUGAUACCUGGGUACUCAGUUUUUUUCAGCAUUUGGAACUGUUGGCCACCCCCUGGAUGCUCUGGGAUGUUAGGCAUUGGCAUUCCUUCUAGGAUUGUGGAUUAGAGUCCUUUCCUAGGGGAAUCUUGGUCUUGCAUUUUGUAUUCUACCCUAAAGUUAUCAUUUUCUCUAAAGUGUUUUCUUUGCUUAAUGUCACGUUAACACUUUGGUACAGGAGAUGAGAAUUUGCAGGGGAAAAUAACUGGGCUCUUGCUACACUGAGAAAAACUUUUGUGUUUAGUAGAGAUCCUUGUUAGACAAUGGCACAUCUUUGUUUAUGUGUGUGUAUACAUGCCUAGAUGUGUUUAUGUAUAUGUACAUUUAUUAUGUUAUGUAUUGUGUGUAUGGAGUACCAAAUUGGCUUAUAAAUAAAAGAGCACUCAUAAGUUCAAUAAAUAA
Molecule: long non-coding RNA, 1002 nt
Filed under: Homo sapiens (human)
Lineage: Eukaryota; Metazoa; Chordata; Mammalia; Primates; Hominidae
Description: HSALNT0136361
Source: RNAcentral